RNAcentral lists this ribosomal RNA (858 nucleotides) under uncultured bacterium. Its description in RNAcentral is "bacterial SSU rRNA". It matches the Rfam family "Bacterial small subunit ribosomal RNA", at positions 58 to 916 of the family's 1533-position model. The record is from RNAcentral.
CAAGUCGAACGGUAGAGGGGGCAACCCCUCGAGAGUGGCGAACGGGUGAGUAAUAUAUCGGAACGUGCCCAGUCGUGGGGGAUAACGUAGCGAAAGUUACGCUAAUACCGCAUACGAUCUACGGAUGAAAGCGGGGGAUCGCAAGACCUCGCGCGAUUGGAGCGGCCGAUAUCAGAUUAGGUAGUUGGUGGGGUAAAGGCUCACCAAGCCAACGAUCUGUAGCUGGUCUGAGAGGACGACCAGCCACACUGGAACUGCGACACGGUCCAGACUCCUACGGGAGGCAGCAGUGGGGAAUUUUGGACAAUGGACGCAAGUCUGACCCAGCCAUUCCGCGUGCAGGAUGAAGGCCCUCGGGUUGUAAACUGCUUUUGUACGGAACGAAAAGGUUUCUAUUAAUACUAGGAGCUCAUGACGGUACCGUAAGAAUAAGCACCGGCUAACUACGUGCCAGCAGCCGCGGUAAUACGUAGGGUGCAAGCGUUAAUCGGAAUUACUGGGCGUAAAGCGUGCGCAGGCGGUUAUGUAAGACAGAGGUGAAAUCCCCGGGCUCAACCUGGGAACUGCCUUUGUGACUGCAUAGCUAGAGUACGGUAGAGGGGGAUGGAAUUCCGCGUGUAGCAGUGAAAUGCGUAGAUAUGCGGAGGAACACCGAUGGCGAAGGCAAUCCCCUGGACCUGUACUGACGCUCAUGCACGAAAGCGUGGGGAGCAAACAGGAUUAGAUACCCUGGUAGUCCACGCCCUAAACGAUGUCAACUGGUUGUUGGGUCUUCACUGACUCAGUAACGAAGCUAACGCGUGAAGUUGACCGCCUGGGGAGUACGGCCGCAAGGUUGAAACUCAAAGGAAUUGACGG